This 106-nucleotide ribosomal RNA is filed under the name Callithrix jacchus (white-tufted-ear marmoset). Lineage: Eukaryota; Metazoa; Chordata; Mammalia; Primates; Cebidae. The record is from RNAcentral.
UACUACAGCCAUACUACCCUGAAUGUGCCUGAUCCCAUCUGAUUUCAGAAGUUAAGCAGGGUCAGACCUCGUUAGAACUUGGUUGGAAGAAAAAGUGACAUAGAUA